GGAGAGGUGCCAGAGCGGCUGAAUGGGCUGGUUUCGAAAACCAGUGUGGCCGAUUCGGUCACCGAGGGUUCGAAUCCCUCCCUCUCCGCCA
This 91-nucleotide transfer RNA is filed under the name Planctomycetota bacterium. Its description in RNAcentral is "Planctomycetes bacterium tRNA-Ser". It matches the Rfam family "tRNA". Rfam says of the family: Transfer RNA (tRNA) molecules are approximately 80 nucleotides in length. Their secondary structure includes four short double-helical elements and three loops (D, anti-codon, and T loops). Further hydrogen bonds mediate the characteristic L-shaped molecular structure. tRNAs have two regions of fundamental functional importance: the anti-codon, which is responsible for specific mRNA codon recognition, and the 3' end, to which the tRNAs corresponding amino acid is attached (by aminoacyl-tRNA synthetases). tRNAs cope with the degeneracy of the genetic code in two manners: having more than one tRNA (with a specific anti-codon) for a particular amino acid; and 'wobble' base-pairing, i.e. permitting non-standard base-pairing at the 3rd anti-codon position. The record is from RNAcentral. Lineage: Bacteria; Pseudomonadati; Planctomycetota.